AAUCCGUGAUGUGGGCAGCAUCUCAAAAGAUCUUUAAAUCUCUCCCAUGCAUCGUACAUGCUUUCAACAUCUUUAAAAUAGCCGUGCUUGAGGAU
RNAcentral lists this small nucleolar RNA (95 nucleotides) under Ricinus communis (castor bean). Its description in RNAcentral is "Plant small nucleolar RNA R71". It matches the Rfam family "Plant small nucleolar RNA R71". Rfam says of the family: R71 is a member of the C/D box family of snoRNAs containing the C (UGAUGA) and D (CUGA) box motifs. Multiple nearly identical copies of this snoRNA have been identified in Arabidopsis, and it is thought to function as a 2'-O-ribose methylation guide for 18S ribosomal RNA. The record is from Rfam by way of RNAcentral. Lineage: Eukaryota; Viridiplantae; Streptophyta; Magnoliopsida; Malpighiales; Euphorbiaceae.